This 482-nucleotide ribosomal RNA is filed under the name uncultured bacterium. Its description in RNAcentral is "partial 16S ribosomal RNA". It matches the Rfam family "Bacterial small subunit ribosomal RNA", at positions 30 to 507 of the family's 1533-position model. The record is from RNAcentral.
AUUGAACGCUGGCGGCAUGCCUUACACAUGCAAGUCGAACGGUAACGGGCCUUCGGGUGCCGACGAGUGGCGGACGGGUGAGUAAUACAUCGGAACGUGCCCGAUCGUGGGGGAUAACGAGGCGAAAGCUUUGCUAAUACCGCAUACGAUCUACGGAUGACAGCAGGGGACCGCAAGGCCUUGCGCGGACGGAGCGGCCGAUGGCAGAUUAGGUAGUUGGUGGGAUAAAAGCUUACCAAGCCGACGAUCUGUAGCUGGUCUGAGAGGAUGAUCAGCCACACUGGGACUGAGACACGGCCCAGACUCCUACGGGAGGCAGCAGUGGGGAAUUUUGGACAAUGGGCGCAAGCCUGAUCCAGCCAUGCCGCGUGCAGGAUGAAGGCCUUCGGGUUGUAAACUGCUUUUGUACGGAACGAAAAGCCUUCUUUUAAUACAGGAGGGUCAUGACGGUACCGUAAGAAUAAGCACCGGCUAACUACGUG